This 253-nucleotide ribosomal RNA is filed under the name uncultured bacterium. RNAcentral's name for it is "partial 16S ribosomal RNA". It matches the Rfam family "Bacterial small subunit ribosomal RNA", at positions 524 to 776 of the family's 1533-position model. The record is from RNAcentral.
UACGAAGGGGGCUAGCGUUGUUCGGAAUUACUGGGCGUAAAGCGCACGUAGGCGGAUACUUAAGUCAGGGGUGAAAUCCCGGGGCUCAACCCCGGAACUGCCUUUGAUACUGGGUAUCUCGAGUCCGGAAGAGGUGAGUGGAAUUCCGAGCGUAGAGGUGAAAUUCGUAGAUAUUCGGAGGAACACCAGUGGCGAAGGCGGCUCACUGGUCCGGUACUGACGCUGAGGUGCGAAAGCGUGGGGAGCAAACAGG